UUUCCUGUGGCUCAGUCGGUAGAGCAUUGCGCUAACAACAGAAAGGUCAUGGGUUCAUAUUCCAAGAAAA
Danionella cerebrum is the source of this 70-nucleotide non-coding RNA. The record is from the annotation of a GenBank genome assembly. NCBI's taxonomy places the organism in Eukaryota, Metazoa, Chordata, Actinopteri, Cypriniformes, Danionidae.